AUUUUAUUGCAGUAAAACCAAACAGUAAUAUGAAAUUCACAGUUAAACUGCCACGCAGAACUAAAAAAAAAUGACAUUUCUUAAAUUUUCCCAUUUUCUUAGAUUGAAUUCAUAUUAAAUUGUUUCAUAUAUGAAUAUUUGAUGUGAAAUGAAAGCCGUGUUUCUCCUGAACAAAAUGAUAUAUAAUAAGCGUGGAUGCACUAAAAAUGAAAUAGGUGGAUUAUGGUGGUACAGACAUAUAGUCAAACUCUAGGUUUCGUUUACAUUAUGUGUUAAUCUGAACUUGUACAAUUGCCUCCGUCCUAAAGAGUUAACCCUAAUAAGCAAUAUUUACUCAAUACAAUAGAUAGUUUCACUACAGCAGAAAAUAUAUAUAAAAAGGAAACAUAAAUGUAAGAUGAAAUGAUUAUGGUUUUAAAAACAGACUUUUUGUUAAUCAACAAUGGCAAAUAAUUGCUGGAAGAAAACAGCAUUCCUGAUGAUCCUGGGUAACGGCUGCGGGUGGAACGCGCGUGGGGUGCAGACUGACGUGGCGCUUGGUCCAGAACGCGACUUAGACUUGAUUUAACUUUAAAUACUCUAGCCUUUGGUCCAAUAAGGAUUUAUGUAACUUCACUUUCCUAUGCAGUCUCUUAGAUAUUCCUUUGUAUUUUUAGCACUUUUUUCACUUUAAUUUUUUAUUAUUUUCAAUCUAGGUGUCAGUGAUCAGUGAGGGGUACGUUAGAAUCGAAUGACUUGCUGUUUUGUAUUGCUACACGCGGCUUACAACAUGGAGGGAACAAGUGCCAGCUGUCAAAUAUGUAGGGAGAUAUAGUUCGUAAAUAUAUUAGACUAUAACAGGGACCAACCAGCACUUGCACCCUCCCUGCCUGCCCUGUACUGAUAUUAUUAUAGGCAUAUAAAUCAGGAAAUCCCCUCUCCCCACCAAACUUUAGAAUUUAUUUCUAUGAUUUUCAUUACUAUAUAUAUUUUUUUCAAGACUUUUAUUACUCUGACUGAAAAGUAAUCACCAGUUAAGAGCUUCGACACUGAUUUUAUUCAGCUGUAUCUAAAUCUGAAUCAUA
Non-coding RNA from Pelobates cultripes (western spadefoot toad), 1064 nucleotides. The record is from the annotation of a GenBank genome assembly. NCBI's taxonomy places the organism in Eukaryota, Metazoa, Chordata, Amphibia, Anura, Pelobatidae.